RNAcentral lists this ribosomal RNA (301 nucleotides) under uncultured bacterium. RNAcentral's name for it is "partial 16S ribosomal RNA". It matches the Rfam family "Bacterial small subunit ribosomal RNA", at positions 509 to 807 of the family's 1533-position model. The record is from RNAcentral.
CAGUCGCCACGGGAAUACAGAGGGUGCAAGCGUUAAUCGGAAUUACUGGGCGUAAAGCGCGCGUAGGUGGUUCGCCAAGUUGGAUGUGAAAUCCCCGGGCUCAACCUGGGAACUGCAUCCAAAACUGGCGAGCUAGAGUAUGGUAGAGGGUGGUGGAAUUUCCUGUGUAGCGGUGAAGUGCGUAGAUAUAGGAAGGAACAUCAGUGGCGAAGGCGACCACCUGGACUGAUACUGACACUGAGGUGCGAAAGCGUGGGGAGCAAACAGGAUUAGAUACCCGUGUAGUCCCUGUCUCUUAUAC